AUUGAACGCUGGCGGCAGGCCUAACACAUGCGAGUCGAGCGGAUGAAGGGAGCUUGCUCCUGGAUUCAGCGGCGGACGGGUGAGUAAUGCCUAGGAAUCUGCCUGGUAGUGGGGGAUAACGUCCGGAAACGGGCGCUAAUACCGCAUACGUCCUGAGGGAGAAAGUGGGGGAUCUUCGGACCUCACGCUAUCAGAUGAGCCUAGGUCGGAUUAGCUAGUUGGUGGGGUAAAGGCCUACCAAGGCGACGAUCCGUAACUGGUCUGAGAGGAUGAUCAGUCACACUGGAACUGAGACACGGUCCAGACUCCUACGGGAGGCAGCAGUGGGGAAUAUUGGACAAUGGGCGAAAGCCUGAUCCAGCGAUGGCGCGUGUGUGAAGAAGGUCUUCGGAUUGUAAAGCACUUUAAGUUGGGAGGAAGGGCAGUAAGUUAAUACCUUGCUGUUUUGACGGUACCAACAGAAUAAGCACCGGCUAACUUCGUG
RNAcentral lists this ribosomal RNA (484 nucleotides) under uncultured bacterium. RNAcentral describes it as "partial 16S ribosomal RNA". It matches the Rfam family "Bacterial small subunit ribosomal RNA", at positions 30 to 507 of the family's 1533-position model. The record is from RNAcentral.